GUGGUUUUAGUUUAUAAAAAUAUUUGCUUUGCAAGCAGAAGAUCCAAGAAAAGCUUGGAUUCCACA
RNAcentral lists this transfer RNA (66 nucleotides) under Synallactes sp. Y30071. RNAcentral describes it as "tRNA-Ala". It matches the Rfam family "tRNA". Rfam says of the family: Transfer RNA (tRNA) molecules are approximately 80 nucleotides in length. Lineage: Eukaryota; Metazoa; Echinodermata; Holothuroidea; Aspidochirotida; Synallactidae. The record is from RNAcentral.